This 253-nucleotide ribosomal RNA is filed under the name uncultured bacterium. RNAcentral describes it as "partial 16S ribosomal RNA". It matches the Rfam family "Bacterial small subunit ribosomal RNA", at positions 524 to 776 of the family's 1533-position model. The record is from RNAcentral.
UACAGAGGGUGCGAGCGUUAAUCGGAAUUACUGGGCGUAAAGCGUGCGUAGACGGUUAUUUAAGUCGGAUGUGAAAGCCCCGGGCUCAACCUGGGAAUUGCAUUCGAGACUGAAUAGCUAGGGUGCGGUAGAGGGAAGCGGAAUUUCCGGUGUAGCGGUGAAAUGCGUAGAUAUCCGGAGGAACACCGGUGGCGAAGGCGGCUUCCUGGACCGACACUGACGCUGAGGCGCGAAAGCUAGGGGAGCAAACGGG